RNAcentral lists this transfer RNA (73 nucleotides) under Camelus bactrianus (Bactrian camel). It matches the Rfam family "tRNA". Rfam says of the family: Transfer RNA (tRNA) molecules are approximately 80 nucleotides in length. Their secondary structure includes four short double-helical elements and three loops (D, anti-codon, and T loops). RNAcentral also lists the same sequence under 3 other names. Lineage: Eukaryota; Metazoa; Chordata; Mammalia; Artiodactyla; Camelidae. The record is from Rfam by way of RNAcentral.
GAGGGUAUAGCUCAAAUGGUAGAGUGCAUACUUACCACGCAUGCUGUCCUGGGUUCAAUCCCCAGUACCUCCA